CCCUUAGAUGUUCUGGGCCGCACGCGCGCUACACUGAUUCAUGCACUAAGUAUAUAACCUUGGUAGAAAUGCUUGGGUAAUCUUCGAAACUGAAUCGUGCUGGGGAUUGGAGCUUGUAAUUAUUCUCCAUGAACGAGGAAUUCCUAGUAAACGCGAGUCAUCAGCUCGCAUUGAUUACGUCCCUGCCCUUUGUACACACCGCCCGUCGCACCUACCGAUUGAAUGGUCCGGUGAAAUCUUCGGACCGCGCAACGCCGCAAGGUGAUGCGUGGAAAGUUGCUUAAACCUUACCAUUUAGAGGAAGGUGAGGUCGUAACA
RNAcentral lists this ribosomal RNA (318 nucleotides) under uncultured eukaryote. RNAcentral's name for it is "partial 18S ribosomal RNA". It matches the Rfam family "Eukaryotic small subunit ribosomal RNA", at positions 1470 to 1796 of the family's 1831-position model. The record is from RNAcentral.